CCUACGGGUGGCAGCAGUGAGGAAUAUUGGUCAAUGGACGAGAGUCUGAACCAGCCAAGUCGCGUGAAGGAUGACUGCCCUAUGGGUUGUAAACUUCUUUUAUAUGGGAAUAAAACGUUCCACGUGUGGGAUUUUGUAUGUACCAUAUGAAUAAGGAUCGGCUAACUCCGUGCCAGCAGCCGCGGUAAUACGGAGGAUCCGAGCGUUAUCCGGAUUUAUUGGGUUUAAAGGGAGCGUAGGUGGAUUGUUAAGUCCGUUGUGAAAGUUUGCGGCUCAACCGUAAAAUUGCAGUUGAAACUGGCAGUCUUGAGUGCAGUAGAGGUGGGCGGAAUUCGUGGUGUAGCGGUGAAAUGCUUAGAUAUCACGAAGAACUCCGAUUGCGAAGGCAGUUCACUGGACUGCAACUGACACUGAGGCUCGAAAGUGUGGGUAUCAAACAGGAUUAGAUACCCUAGUAGUC
RNAcentral lists this ribosomal RNA (460 nucleotides) under uncultured bacterium. RNAcentral's name for it is "partial 16S ribosomal RNA". It matches the Rfam family "Bacterial small subunit ribosomal RNA", at positions 338 to 795 of the family's 1533-position model. The record is from RNAcentral.